Schistosoma margrebowiei is the source of this 48-nucleotide non-coding RNA. The record is from Rfam. NCBI's taxonomy places the organism in Eukaryota, Metazoa, Platyhelminthes, Trematoda, Strigeidida, Schistosomatidae.
ACUCAGUUGACGAGUCCCAAAUAGGAUGAAAUGAGCGUCAAACUGGAU